This 458-nucleotide ribosomal RNA is filed under the name uncultured bacterium. RNAcentral describes it as "bacterial SSU rRNA". It matches the Rfam family "Bacterial small subunit ribosomal RNA", at positions 340 to 786 of the family's 1533-position model. The record is from RNAcentral.
UACGGAAGGCAGCAGUGGGGAAUAUUGCACAAUGGGCGAAAGCCUGAUGCAGCUAUGCCGCGUGUAUGAAGAAGGCCUUAGGGUUGUAAAGUACUUUUCAUCGGGGAGGAAAAAACAAAACUAAUAAUUUUAUUUCUUGACGUUACCCGAAAAAGAAGCACCGGCUAACUCCGUGCCAGCAGCCGCGGCAAUACGGAGGGUGCUAGCGUUAAUCAGAAUUACUGGGCGUAAAGAGCACGUAGGUGGUUUUUUUAAGUUCAGAUGUGAAAUCCCUGGGCUUAACCUAGGAACUGCAUUUUGAAACUGAAAUACUAGAGUAUCGUAGAGGGAGGUAGAAUUCUAGGUGUAGCGGUGAAAUGCGUAGAUAUCUGGAGGAAUACCUGUGGCGAAAGCGGCCUCCUAAACGAAUACUGACACUGAGGUGCGAAAGCGUGGGGAGCAAACAGGGAUUAGAUACC